This 418-nucleotide ribosomal RNA is filed under the name uncultured bacterium. Its description in RNAcentral is "bacterial SSU rRNA". It matches the Rfam family "Bacterial small subunit ribosomal RNA", at positions 355 to 786 of the family's 1533-position model. The record is from RNAcentral.
UCGGGAAUAUUGCGCAAUGGAGGAAACUCUGACGCAGUGACGCCGCGUAUAGGAAGAAGGUUUUCGGAUUGUAAACUAUUGUCGUUAGGGAAGAGAAAGGACAGUACCUAAGGAGGAAGCUCCGGCUAACUACGUGCCAGCAGCCGCGGUAAUACGUAGAGAGCGAGCGUUAUCCGGAAUUAUUGGGUGUAAAGGGUGCGUAGACGGGAGAACAAGUUAGUUGUGAAAUACCUCGGCUCAACUGAGGAACUGCAACUAAAACUGUACUUCUUGAGUGCAGGAGAGGUAAGUGGAAUUCCUAGUGUAGCGGUGAAAUGCGUAGAUAUUAGGAGGAACACCAGUGGCGAAGGCGACUUACUGGACUGUAAACUGACGUUGAGGCACGAAAAGUGUGGGGAGCAAAACAGGAUUAGAUACC